GGUAAAAUGGCUGAAUUAUAGGCGAUAGAUUGUAAAUUUAUUUAUGGGAAAAAUCUCUUUUACU
Molecule: transfer RNA, 64 nt
Filed under: Protohermes tonkinensis
Lineage: Eukaryota; Metazoa; Arthropoda; Insecta; Megaloptera; Corydalidae
Description: tRNA-Tyr
Source: RNAcentral